CUGUGAGGAGUAUGAUGUACUACAACAAGGAUUUAGAAAUGUUGGCUUUUCUUGAUAUUGGGGAUGGCUCCAAGGAACUUGUAG
Molecule: non-coding RNA, 84 nt
Organism: Picea glauca (white spruce)
Lineage: Eukaryota; Viridiplantae; Streptophyta; Pinopsida; Pinales; Pinaceae
Source: Rfam